Manacus vitellinus (golden-collared manakin) is the source of this 1780-nucleotide long non-coding RNA. The record is from Ensembl. NCBI's taxonomy places the organism in Eukaryota, Metazoa, Chordata, Aves, Passeriformes, Pipridae.
GCAGCACCUGAAAUACACUGCUCCUACCCAUCCUCCAACACAUAUAUUGGGUAGACUGAAGAAUUAAGUGUGUGGGAAACGUUCCUAAAUUCAGAAGUGUACUUAGGAAAGCAUCUUGCUCAGGCUGCACUGUGAACAGAACAGUUGUUGUGCUCCCACUGGCAAUACCAGAGGAGGACUAGAGCAUACUACUGACUGGCUGGAAUGAAAACAGCUCUAUCCCACGGACUCCACCUCUGCUUUCUGGCAGCUUACCUGACUCAUAAAGAGAGUGGGGGGUUUUAUAUGCCACCUACAUCAACGCAACAUUUUCCUUUGUGAAGGAAUUCUUGAAACGAGGGAGAGGAAGGAACUGCUGUGGAGCUCAGCACUUACCUACUGUGAAGGAGAACCAGGGAAAUCAUUUGGUAAGAGUCUCCUCAUUUCUCUGUCACAAAGGCAGGUAGAAUCAAGGAACAGGAAGGAAAGGGGAAGACCAAAAGGACAGAAGUUAACCAUUGGCAGAUGUCAGUGAAGGAAGGGUAGAGAAAGGAAGCUGCUGCCGUGUUGGCAGAAAGUUUCCAGGUCCUCUGUGGGACCUGGAAAUUGACAGAGAAAUAAGGGGUGUGCUACACGACAGGAGACAGGGAGCAUCCUGUCAGGAAUGAGCUAUCUGACCAUACAUCAUAUAAAUAUAGGUUAUUUCCAUUCUUGAUGUGUUUCAGUCUUAAAAUGCACCACAGAUACAGCGCCUCUGCCUUGAAGAUAUGGAAGCUGUAGCUGUCUCAACCUUCCUGUAACCGCCUCCUCCUUCUCACAUGCCAGAUUUAACCCCAUAUUAUCUCCUCUCCUGCACUGUGGGUCCUCAGCCUGGCUCCAAUCAUCCUUCUUAUUGAUUGCACCUGCUUCAUGACUGGGGCACAACUCAAGAUGAGGACUUAGCAGUCAUCUGCAAAGAUGUGCUUCUCAAAGCAGAGGCACUAAUGAGCUCUGUGAAGGAAGCAUGCUGGGAGAGGCACCAGCAGGGAGAAAGAAGAGCAAAAAGAGAGCCUAUCAUCUGAGAAAGAAACAGAUUUAGGAGACUAUAGGAGACUCUAGGAUUAUUGCAGUGGGGAGACUAAAGGCAUGGAAGCCUCAGGAGGAAAGUGAAUGUGGGAGGAUGGAGCCAUGGAUGGUUAAAAAUAACAGUAUGGUACUCCACUGAUAUUUUAAACCUGCUGCCUUUGAAAACCCUUCUGAGUUUUGAAAAGCAAACCUUACAUUUAAUUGUUCUAAUUGGUACUGACCAUCCAGGACCACUGGCAUUUUGGGCCAGUCAUUUUGUCCAGCAACCCCCAUUUUCUUCACUCCAGGUCUAAUGGUUGCAACCAAGUCUUCAGCAGAUUGCUCUUUGUACCCUGCCUGAUGUAAAUAUCAAUGUAUCCCCAAUUAUGUUUUCAUUUCUCUGAAAGGGAGAUGGCAUUUGUGAGUAGCACACUAAUUCCAUGUGAUAAUGAUGCUAUCACAAAUUAGAGGUAAAUUAAAGCACCAUUCACAAUCAAUUUGUACAAUGUGGAAUUUGGACCUGGAUUAAUUCAGACCUGAAAGCCAUUUUUUUUUUAUGUUUCUGAACAACUGCCAGCUUUUCAAGCCUGUGGCUGUUCCAAGUAAUGCAUUAGUCUCUGUACAAAUAACACAUGUGAGAUGGGACCAAGUGGUAGCAAACCUGCUGGGGCUUUGAACCUCCUGGCACUUGUAAUGGGUGUGAGAAAAUGAAGGGAGGAACAAUAAAUAAAAGAAUAAAGAAAAGAGAAGUAGAAAG